AGCCCAUUGUGCAGCCCUAGUGCGACGUAAAGUAACUACAACAACAACAUUCUCUCCCCUCCCAAUCUUCUGAUUGUUUACUGGUUGCUAGCGUCAAAAGUUCUUGUCUGUGAAAUACGCAGUUUGCCUGACUCUUUUGAAUUGAUCCGUUUAAACGUACUUCUCGAGGAGCGAUUCAGAUGAAGAAGCUUGUGCGGUUGAGAGAGGAGAAAGUUUCUUGCUGCAUGCAUUGCUGAAUUUGAAAGGAUUGCUGAAUGAAUGCUUCUUCAACAUGCUUUUCACCAGGAUCUGAAACACAAGUGCAGAAGAACCCAGGAAGGAAAAAACAUUCGAGUAUAAUGGUUAUUUCAAAAGAAGGUGAACACAAUAAUAAGUACAG
Parasteatoda tepidariorum (common house spider) is the source of this 379-nucleotide long non-coding RNA. RefSeq lists it as uncharacterized. Lineage: Eukaryota; Metazoa; Arthropoda; Arachnida; Araneae; Theridiidae. The record is from RefSeq and is a predicted model, not a curated record.